RNAcentral lists this ribosomal RNA (482 nucleotides) under uncultured bacterium. Its description in RNAcentral is "partial 16S ribosomal RNA". It matches the Rfam family "Bacterial small subunit ribosomal RNA", at positions 30 to 507 of the family's 1533-position model. The record is from RNAcentral.
AUUGAACGCUGGCGGCAUGCUUUACACAUGCAAGUCGAACGGUAACAGGCCGCAAGGUGCUGACGAGUGGCGAACGGGUGAGUAAUGCAUCGGAACGUGCCCAGUCGUGGGGGAUAACUACUCGAAAGAGUAGCUAAUACCGCAUACGAUCUAUGGAUGAAAGCGGGGGACCGUAAGGCCUCGCGCGAUUGGAGCGGCCGAUGUCAGAUUAGGUAGUUGGUGGGGUAAAGGCUCACCAAGCCAACGAUCUGUAGCUGGUCUGAGAGGACGACCAGCCACACUGGGACUGAGACACGGCCCAGACUCCUACGGGAGGCAGCAGUGGGGAAUUUUGGACAAUGGGCGCAAGCCUUAUUCAGCAAUGCCGCGUGUAGCGAUAUGUCCGCCGGGUUAUAAUGUUCUUGUUUGCGUAAUGAUUUGGUUUUGCUUUAUACCUACUGAUAAUGGCGGUAUGGUAACGAUAAGUCACGUCUUUCUACGGG